AAAUUGAAGAGUUUGAUCAUGGCUCAGAUUGAACGCUGGCGGCAGGCCUAACACAUGCAAGUCGAACGGUAACAGGAAGCAGCUUGCUGCUUCGCUGACGAGUGGCGGACGGGUGAGUAAUGUCUGGGAAACUGCCUGAUGGAGGGGGAUAACUACUGGAAACGGUAGCUAAUACCGCAUAACGUCGCAAGACCAAAGAGGGGGACCUUAGGGCCUCUUGCCAUCGGAUGUGCCCAGAUGGGAUUAGCUUGUUGGUGGGGUAACGGCUCACC
RNAcentral lists this ribosomal RNA (272 nucleotides) under Escherichia coli. Its description in RNAcentral is "partial 16S ribosomal RNA". It matches the Rfam family "Bacterial small subunit ribosomal RNA", at positions 1 to 269 of the family's 1533-position model. The record is from RNAcentral. Lineage: Bacteria; Pseudomonadati; Pseudomonadota; Gammaproteobacteria; Enterobacterales; Enterobacteriaceae.